This 254-nucleotide ribosomal RNA is filed under the name uncultured bacterium. RNAcentral's name for it is "partial 16S ribosomal RNA". It matches the Rfam family "Bacterial small subunit ribosomal RNA", at positions 524 to 777 of the family's 1533-position model. The record is from RNAcentral.
UACGAAGGGGGCUAGCGUUGCUCGGAAUCACUGGGCGUAAAGGGUGCGUAGGCGGGUCUUUAAGUCAGAGGUGAAAUCCUGGAGCUCAACUCCAGAACUGCCUUUGAUACUGAGGAUCUUGAGUUCGGGAGAGGUGAGUGGAACUGCGAGUGUAGAGGUGAAAUUCGUAGAUAUUCGCAAGAACACCAGUGGCGAAGGCGGCUCACUGGCCCGGUACUGACGCUGAGGUGCGAAAGCGUGGGGAGCAAACAGGG